CUUGGAAGAGGCACUAAGAAAAUCCCACACUUCCUGUUGCUCAGCCACAUUGGCAAUUGACAAGAGAUCCUAUAUUUGUAAAACUGAAUGCAAUGCUGAUGAACGAAUGCAUAUUCUGUACUAGACGAAAAUAUCCUCUUAGGAAGCAAAUGCAAUGUGUAAUUAGGAAUAUCCUUCAGGUGACUAUGCAAUCUCUCGAAGUUCCUGUAUCUGCUUAAACGGCACCCAAUAGGAUAUCAGCUAAACAGAGCCAGCGGAAUUUGAGAAAAGAACUUG
Molecule: long non-coding RNA, 276 nt
Organism: Solanum verrucosum
Lineage: Eukaryota; Viridiplantae; Streptophyta; Magnoliopsida; Solanales; Solanaceae
Exons: 2
Source: RefSeq, a predicted model, not a curated record